GGAGAAUUGGCUGAGAGGCUGAAGGCACUCCCCUGCUAAGGGAGCAUGUGGGCUUAAACCUGCAUCGAGGGUUCGAAUCCCUCAUUCUCCGCCA
Molecule: transfer RNA, 94 nt
Filed under: Neisseria weaveri
Lineage: Bacteria; Pseudomonadati; Pseudomonadota; Betaproteobacteria; Neisseriales; Neisseriaceae
Also listed under: 7 other names
Description: tRNA-Ser(gct)
Rfam family: tRNA
About the family: Transfer RNA (tRNA) molecules are approximately 80 nucleotides in length.
Source: RNAcentral